RNAcentral lists this ribosomal RNA (403 nucleotides) under uncultured bacterium. Its description in RNAcentral is "partial 16S ribosomal RNA". It matches the Rfam family "Bacterial small subunit ribosomal RNA", at positions 28 to 526 of the family's 1533-position model. The record is from RNAcentral.
GACGAACGCUGGCGGCGUGCCUAAUACAUGCAAGUCGAACGCAGUGGGGACGGGUGAGUAACACGUGGGUAACCUCCCAUCAGAGGGGAUAACACUUGGAAACAGGUGCUAAACCGAUACUGAUGGAUGGACCCGCGGUGCAUUAGCUAGUUGGUAAGGUAACGGCCCACCAAGGACACGUUGCAUAGCCGACGUGUGAGAUUGAGCGGCAACACGUGGACUGAAACCAGGCCCAGACUCCUACGGUAGGCAGCAGUAGGGAAACUUCGGCAAUGGACGAAAGUCUGCCCGGGCGACGCCGCGUGACUGAAGAAGGUUUUCGGAUCGUAAAACUCUGUUAUUAGAGAAGCGGUAUCUACCCAGAAAGCCACGGCUAACUACGUGCCAGCAGCCGCGGUAAUAC